RNAcentral lists this long non-coding RNA (485 nucleotides) under Elaeis guineensis (African oil palm). RNAcentral describes it as "long non-coding RNA (EGUI_LNC079625)". Lineage: Eukaryota; Viridiplantae; Streptophyta; Magnoliopsida; Arecales; Arecaceae. The record is from RNAcentral.
CCUGUGACUCCUCACAAGGACUACCCUGGCCAAGGUUUUGCUAAAUUGAAACACGACUGUACACAGCUCCUAAACUGGAGUGGUCAAUCCCAUCUUGACACACGCACCGACAAGUCAAAUACUUGACUACACCCAACAGCCUUCCAUCACUGAAUUAAAAAUUCAGGUAGUCCAGUGCCUAAGUGCAGUGAGUUGCUUGCAAGUCAUCGUGGCGGUCUUAGAUCGGAGGGAUAUUUAUACCCAUAUUCCAUCGGAGCAAAUCUUGACAGCAGAAGUAGCUCUGGAGUCAGUCACGUUCAAUACAAAUGUACCCUUAUAUCUCACCUGUAUGCCAUACCAGUGUCUCCACACUCAUUGGUUAAGAGGACAACCAAUCUAUAUGGCACACAACGACCUAUGCUUGAUAAACGUUGUCGUCCUUGGUAACAAUGUAUCAUUUGAUUGCGAACAGAUUUAAGGACUAAACGACAAAUCCUCCUUUGUCA